This is a non-coding RNA of Heterocephalus glaber (naked mole-rat), 2495 nucleotides long. The record is from RefSeq and is a predicted model, not a curated record. Lineage: Eukaryota; Metazoa; Chordata; Mammalia; Rodentia; Bathyergidae.
GGGGAAGCAGGGAGAUAUCCCGGGAUUCCUUAGCCUGGGUUUCCUGCCUGCUUGCUUCCGAAGUGUCUUCUUCCGUUAGUUUCCCUGGCCGGAGUUCGCCCCAAGCCAGCCUUGCCCAUUCAUAAAUCUCUUUUCAGCUAUCUCGACUGGGCGCUUGCUUCUUGGUUAAAUGGUUCUUCUAUGCAGCGUUAUUUGUAAACGAGUCUUUGGCCUCAGAGAAAUACCAUGAGAAAUACAGCUGCAGUUAAAUAGGCUGUGUUCGUUCUUCACUGAGGAAUCGGGAAAGAAGUGGCCCCUUUGUGCAUCAGCCUGAACUCCACCAGAGGGAGCGGCUCUUUACCUCCUCAAGGGGAAUGGCGCACUCCUGCGACUAAUUUCCUAGGCUCCCCAACAGGACACAGAGACCCACUCACCACUGGCAGAUCACCCAAACCCAAGACAAGAAGACAACAGAAGGAGGGCUGCUGCUGUUGGUGUCUCGUCUGUCUCUUUCCUUUGCUUGAUGGGAGCAGCUUCAUGGAAGAUGUGGUUCGUCAUGCUGGAUAUGCAGUAACCACAAAGGAUGAGGUGAUCCUAGUCAGGGCCCCUUCUUUUUGACUGGUUGGCACAAUGGGCUGAGUUCUGGGCACUCAUACAGGCACUCAGAUGGGCAAAAGGUAAAAAGGUAAAUAUAUACAGGCUCUCAUUAUGCAUUUGCUCCAUGCAUGAUUCAUCAAGAGUGAGGUCUUCUCACAGCAGAGUGGAAACAAGUCAAGAAUAGACAGGAAAUUGUACAGUUGCUAGAGACAGUGUGGGAACCUAACAAAGUCGCAGUAAUAUGUUGUUCAGGACAUCAGAAAUCCAAAAACUUCAUUGCACAAGGUAACAAUAAAGGUGAUGCUGAAAGCCAAGAGACAACGCACUCAAAGCCCUGCUCUCACCACUCUGGAGGCUGGUGAGUCAAUCCAUGGCUGAAAAUUGGGAGUGCUGGGAAAGGCAACAUGGACUCUUGUGCUAUGCCAGAUUACUACUACUCUGAGUUUCUUUGUUUUUUCAAACUGUGGGUGUUUAAGCCUAGUGAUGAAAAGUUUAAUGAACAUUUUGUAACUUUCAAAAUGGUAAAAUGGGAACCAGAGGGCUAUCCAUUCACUGUAUUCUUUGAUGUUUGCCCAAGGGAGCAUUAUGGGGGACCUGGGGUAAUUUUUGACUGUGGGGGAUAUUCAAGUGAAAAGUCAUAUUGUAAAGAAAAAACAAAACUCUGGCUCAUUGACUCAGAUGUAAGGUGUGCUCUCGAUUUGCUAACAGCCCAGAAAGGAGGGACUUGCUUAUUCCUUGGUGAAGAAUGUUGUUAUUAUGCUAAUGAAUCUGGUGUAAUACAAGAAUCACUAGACAAACUGAAAGAUCAAAUCAAGGCUCUUGGUGAGGAAUUUGGUAUGGAAGAGUCAUCCUAUGGGAUUCAUUUUACUUGGGCAGGAUGGAAAACUUGGAUAAGACCUCUUCUGAGUCCCCUUCUUGUUAUAAUAUUAGUAUUAAUAUUUGGCCCUUGUGUUAUUCAAUGGAUCUCAAGAUUUGUACAACAGCAUAUUGCUGCCACUCAACACUAUCAAAUGCUAGUAUUGAGAAAUACAGGUAAGUUACAUGGAACAUAUUGUGGAUAAAAGAUUUAUCCUGAAGUAGACAAAGGGAGGAAUGAUAGGGAAAAGUUUUAAAGUAAAUUUAUUAGAUUAGCUAUUAAAGUAGUUGUGGAGAGCCAAUAGCUCCAUAAGUAAUAAAAUGGACAACUUGGACUUCCUAUGAAAGGGUUAAGUGAAAUAUUACAGAACUUGCUGCCCAGCUCUGAAAGAGGGGUAGGAGAAGGUGAUAAGAAUAGCACAAGAACACAGAACUAGGGAAAGUAAAAACAUGAAACUGUCUCAAGGCUUGGGGAGUUUUCCAGAUGUGCCUUAUGUAAGAUGUUUGCUCUUCUUGAGGGAUAUAAAAGAGAGGAGUAAAGUCAAUAAAGCAGCUCGGUCUCUGGGAGCCCUCCUGACUCUAUCUCUUUGUCUUUAUUUUUCUUCAUCCUCACUCCCUCAUUCAGGUACUGUUCGACAAGUGACAGCAGGCUCCAUCAAGUAGUUGUGGAGGCAAAAUAGGUAGUGUAUCAUUUUAAAAGCUUGCCUUAGCCCUUUGCUUCUGCUAUUUCAAGUGAAGAUUAUAUAGUUCCUUUGAUCUGUAGCUCCACUAUAGAUAACAUCUUAGCUCUGAAGAACAAAGUGGGAGUCCUUGAACAAACUUGUGAUAUAUGUGCCUUAAUUGUCAUGUGUUUAGGGCUGUAAUCAGUGACAGAAACCACCUGUGUCUAACCAUUAAACAGGAAUUAGAACUUUAUUUACUUAACAAAGACCACUAGGGAUGAGAUAAUGACUGACAAAAGUAUAAAAGGUGAUGGACAAAGAAUUCAGGGGUGGACUCUGACCAGACCAGUUUCUGGUGUCCUGCCUUGCUAGCAAGUAAAGACCUUUGUUAUUUUACCCAAA